Molecule: transfer RNA, 76 nt
Filed under: Acidobacteriota bacterium
Lineage: Bacteria; Pseudomonadati; Acidobacteriota
Also listed under: 2 other names
Description: tRNA-Gly
Rfam family: tRNA
About the family: Transfer RNA (tRNA) molecules are approximately 80 nucleotides in length. Their secondary structure includes four short double-helical elements and three loops (D, anti-codon, and T loops).
Source: RNAcentral
GCGAGCGUAGCUCAGUUGGUAGAGUAGGAGCUUCCCAAGCUCUUGGUCGCGGGUUCGAAUCCCGUCGCCCGCUCCA